This 411-nucleotide ribosomal RNA is filed under the name uncultured bacterium. Its description in RNAcentral is "bacterial SSU rRNA". It matches the Rfam family "Bacterial small subunit ribosomal RNA", at positions 64 to 507 of the family's 1533-position model. The record is from RNAcentral.
GAACGAGAAAGUGGAGCAAUCCAUGAGUAAAGUGGCGACCGGGUGAGUAACACGUGACUAACCUACCCUUGAGUGGGGGAUAACCUCGGGAAACCGGGGCUAAUACCGCAUAACAUCGCAAGAUCAAAGGAGCAAUCCGCUGAAGGAGGGGGUCGCGGCUGAUUAGUUAGUUGGUGAGGUAAUGGCCUACCAAGGCGAAGAUCGGUAGCCGGCCUGAGAGGGCGCACGGCCACACUGGAACUGAAACACGGUCCAGACUCCUACGGGAGGCAGCAGUGGGGAAUUUUGCGCAAUGGGGGAAACCCUGACGCAGCAACGCCGCGUGGAGGAUGAAGUCCCUUGGGACGUAAACUCCUUUCGACCGGGACGAUACUGACGGUACCGGAAGAAGAAGCACCGGCUAACUCUGUG